This 231-nucleotide ribosomal RNA is filed under the name uncultured Pseudomonas sp. Its description in RNAcentral is "partial 16S ribosomal RNA". It matches the Rfam family "Bacterial small subunit ribosomal RNA", at positions 126 to 354 of the family's 1533-position model. The record is from RNAcentral. Lineage: Bacteria; Pseudomonadati; Pseudomonadota; Gammaproteobacteria; Pseudomonadales; Pseudomonadaceae.
CUGCCUGGUAGUGGGGGGACGAACGUUUCGAAAGGAACGCUAAUAACCGCAUACGUCCUACGGGAGAAAGCAGGGGACCUUCGGGCCUUGCGCUAUCAGAUGAGCCUAGGUCGGAUUAGCUAGUUGGUGAGGUAAUGGCUCACCAAGGCGACGAUCCGUAACUGGUCUGAGAGGAUGAUCAGUCACACUGGAACUGAGACACGGUCCAGACUCCUACGGGAGGCAGCAGAC